This is a non-coding RNA of Phalacrocorax carbo (great cormorant), 2294 nucleotides long. The record is from RefSeq and is a predicted model, not a curated record. Lineage: Eukaryota; Metazoa; Chordata; Aves; Suliformes; Phalacrocoracidae.
UCCCCCACCACUCCUCUUGAGCAUUACUGAGGGUAAACCCAUCUGUAAAUCGGCAGAGUAAUCUCCUGCCAGAUUGAGUUAUAAAGGGAAAUAAAGGAGGACCCGGGUAAGGGAAGGGUUGCUUGCACAUUACUACGGGGAUGCUGGGAAUGCCAGCCAAGGGUCUGGGUUCAAGUCCUGGCACUGUAUCUGAGUCCCAGCGAGGUCAAGGAAUUAAGCACUUGCUGGUGUGAGUGCCUCACGUAUCAGCCAAAGGUCUGCCCAUGUGCAGGUAAAGCUGUGCCUUAAGCUCUGCCAUCUCCUCCUGUUGAAGAAAUGUUAUCAGCAUGCUGCUUCAUGGGACUACAUACCUAAAGGAAGACAAGCUUAAACAAGGUUUUCGCCCACCCCUGUUACUUGAGCAUUCUUUUCAUGGAGAAAAUUACCAGCAUCCAGAAGGCUUUUUAUAAUCCCACAGUAUAUUUGUCAAAGGACCAGUAUAUCUUGAGAUUAAGAUGCUGAUGAAACAUUUUGCAGUUUAACAUACCUGCUUCUUCAGAGUGUGGGCCCAAAGCACAAGCGGCAUUUACAAAAUAAAACCCUGAUGGAGGAUGUAGCAAAUGGUCACCCUUCCAGUUGACUCCAGAAGUCUUUACAACCCAUACAAAAUCAGAAGCUUCGAGCACCAAAGCUGGCGGUCAUUUCAGGACAAAUUAAUUGAAUAUUGAUGAAUAUUUUCUACUUGCAGUCAAAUUGUAAUUCUGAAUUUGGGUGAAAACUUGACUGGAAGUUAAAUACUCCUGACUCAAUUUAAUCAGAAACACCACAGCAUCCUCAAAAUUAAAAUUUGUGUUGGAUGUGGUCAUGUCAGAAGAAUAAAACAGCAAGGACUCUUAUGUGGCAAAAAGUCCAGGAGGAUCACAGUACACAAGGUGGAACAUACUAGCCUUCAGAAGUAAAACAAAUAUCAGAGCAGAUAAAUGCCAUGCCCUAGUUAACUGUAUUUUACAAUAUACAUCUAUAAGAGCAUGAAAUGCUGUAACAAAGUUGGACAACAGGAUUCUUAACAUUUUCUGUAAGGAGACUGUAGUCUCAAAGCACAUUGUGAGCAAUAUUAUCACCACCUGUACACAAAAGAGGAAAAAAUAUCAGUGUAGAAGCUGAGACUGCUUAUCUCGAUUAAGUCCUUUGAAAUGCAGAAAGGCUGUAAACCAAGAAUUAUUUACAUCCAUCAGAAGUAAUCUCCUUGCUAACUGGGGCAUGACAACAACUGACCCCAAAGCAAGACCACUGAAUGAUGACAAACUGCAGGUGAGAAUAUAUUUGGGAACAUGGUUAAUUAUUGCUUGAAGCAAAGAACUGCAUUUUACAGAAGUACCAGUGGGCCACUAAGUCUUAUACUCUGGACCAGUAAAAACCCAGAACAAAACAGGGCACAGAGAGACCAUCCCCAGACCAUCUUUUUAUGGAUGAUUUUCAUCAAUAAUGAAGAACUAAUGGUAUAAAGACAUUUUCGUAACAUUAUAAGCAUAACACAUACAUGCAAGAAGCAAUAUAACUGAUGUGGUGAUCAGUUUUCACUGGGAGUCAUAAAUGAAAGGUGCCAGAAGAUGCAGCAGAGAUUCCAACAUAGAUAAAGGUUUCAGGAAGACCAGCACUAGGCCAGAAGACCCAGCAAUGCAGGAAGUCCUUGAGUAGCUCAGUCAAGCUGUGCAAUUCUUGUUAAGAAUGUGUGUGUGUGUGUGGAACAAAUUAAGAACUGCUACAUUAUUAAGUCCUCUGCAGCACAGAUGAGUUCAUCUGCUUCAAGUUAAGUGAAAUAUCGUAAGGAAAUUUAAAUUCCUCAGUUGUCUCAGAAGGCAGAUGCAUGCGCCGUGCUAUACAAGGUACAUAUUCCAAAUAACAGAUGCCAACAAUACACUCAGAAAUCCAAGAUAUCCAAGAGUCCUGCCCUUAGGUUCUGCUAUUUGAUAGCUUGCUGAACAUAUGAGCAAGGUGCAACACAGACCUGAGCAACAAUCAUGGAUGCUAAUAAGGUAGCACAUUCUCUUGGGACCAAAGCCCACAGAGUGCAGCUGUACCUUUUGUAAUGCUUUAUGCAUAGAAGAAAGGCAGGAGUUUUCAAUUUCUGUAGCAGGAGAGCACUUACCAACAAAUUCAUUCCAAGCUUUGACAAAUUCAAGUUUUCAUCAUAUCCCUUUCAGAAACCUAAGGAUUUUCUGCAGUUGUGAAUUUCAGCAAAAUACAACACAUUAUAAUGAAUAACAGUACUGUCCAUUUCUCUGUACCAGAAACGACUGAGGGUGACUUCAGCA